This 88-nucleotide ribosomal RNA is filed under the name Paenibacillus oceani. Lineage: Bacteria; Bacillati; Bacillota; Bacilli; Caryophanales; Paenibacillaceae. The record is from RNAcentral.
CGUUCCCAUCCCGAACACGACCGUUAAGCCCUCCAGCGCCGAUGGUACUUGGACCGCAGGGUCCUGGGAGAGUAGGACGUUGCCAAGC